This 73-nucleotide transfer RNA is filed under the name Candidatus Krumholzibacteriia bacterium. RNAcentral describes it as "tRNA-Ala". It matches the Rfam family "tRNA". Rfam says of the family: Transfer RNA (tRNA) molecules are approximately 80 nucleotides in length. Their secondary structure includes four short double-helical elements and three loops (D, anti-codon, and T loops). Further hydrogen bonds mediate the characteristic L-shaped molecular structure. tRNAs have two regions of fundamental functional importance: the anti-codon, which is responsible for specific mRNA codon recognition, and the 3' end, to which the tRNAs corresponding amino acid is attached (by aminoacyl-tRNA synthetases). tRNAs cope with the degeneracy of the genetic code in two manners: having more than one tRNA (with a specific anti-codon) for a particular amino acid; and 'wobble' base-pairing, i.e. permitting non-standard base-pairing at the 3rd anti-codon position. Lineage: Bacteria; Candidatus Krumholzibacteriota; Candidatus Krumholzibacteriia. The record is from RNAcentral.
GGGGAUAUAGCUCAGCUGGUAGAGCACCGCCUUUGCAAGGCGGGGGUUACCGGUUCGAGUCCGGUUAUCUCCA